This is a transfer RNA of Rhizoclosmatium globosum, 82 nucleotides long. It matches the Rfam family "tRNA". From Rfam's summary of the family: Transfer RNA (tRNA) molecules are approximately 80 nucleotides in length. Their secondary structure includes four short double-helical elements and three loops (D, anti-codon, and T loops). NCBI's taxonomy places the organism in Eukaryota, Fungi, Chytridiomycota, Chytridiomycetes, Chytridiales, Chytriomycetaceae. The record is from Rfam.
GGGCGAAUGGCCGAGUGGUCCAAGGCGAUGCGUUUAGGCCGCAUUCUAGAAAUAGGCGUGGGUUCAAACCCCACUUCGCUCA